Molecule: ribosomal RNA, 703 nt
Filed under: Nocardiopsis sp. YIM 69308
Lineage: Bacteria; Bacillati; Actinomycetota; Actinomycetes; Streptosporangiales; Nocardiopsidaceae
Description: bacterial SSU rRNA
Rfam family: Bacterial small subunit ribosomal RNA
Source: RNAcentral
CAUGCAGUCGAGCGGUAAGGCCCUUCGGGGUACACGAGCGGCGAACGGGUGAGUAACACGUGAGCAACCUGCCCCUGACUCCGGGAUAAGCGGUGGAAACGCCGUCUAAUACCGGAUACGACCCUCCACCUCAUGGUGGUGGGUGGAAAGUUUUUCGGUCGGGGAUGGGCUCGCGGCCUAUCAGCUUGUUGGUGGGGUAACGGCCUACCAAGGCGAUUACGGGUAGCCGGCCUGAGAGGGCGACCGGCCACACUGGGACUGAGACACGGCCCAGACUCCUGCGGGAGGCAGCAGUGGGGAAUAUUGCGCAAUGGGCGAAAGCCUGACGCAGCGACGCCGCGUGGGGGAUGACGGCCUUCGGGUUGUAAACCUCUUUUACCACUCACGCAGGCUCCACGUUUUCGUGGGGUUGACGGUAGGUGGGGAAUAAGGACCGGCUAACUACGUGCCAGCAGCCGCGGUAAUACGUAGGGUCCGAGCGUUGUCCGGAAUUAUUGGGCGUAAAGAGCUCGUAGGCGGCGUGUCGCGUCUGCUGUGAAAGACCGGGGCUUAACCCCGGUUCUGCAGUGGAUACGGGCAUGCUAGAGGUAGGUAGGGGAGACUGGAAUUCCUGGUGUAGCGGUGAAAUGCGCAGAUAUCAGGAGGAACACCGGUGGCGAAGGCGGGUCUCUGGGCCUUACCUGACGCUGAGGAGCGAAAGCAU